Molecule: ribosomal RNA, 274 nt
Filed under: uncultured bacterium
Lineage: Bacteria
Description: partial 16S ribosomal RNA
Rfam family: Bacterial small subunit ribosomal RNA
Source: RNAcentral
AUACGGAGGGAGCAAGCGUUAUUCGGAAUCACUGGGCGUAAAGGACGCGUAGGCGGGUUUGUAAGUCAGGUAUGAAAUCCUACAGCUCAACUGUAGAACUGCACUUGAAACUACAGACCUAGAGUAUGGAAGGGGCAGAUGGAAUUAGUGGUGUAGGGGUAAAAUCCGUAGAUAUCACUAGGAAUACCGAAAGCGAAGGCGAUCUGCUGGGACAUUACUGACGCUGAGGCGUGAAAGCGUGGGGAGCAAACAGAAUUAGAUACCCCAGUAGUCC